RNAcentral lists this long non-coding RNA (2352 nucleotides) under Eucalyptus grandis. RNAcentral's name for it is "long non-coding RNA (EGRA_LNC007710)". Lineage: Eukaryota; Viridiplantae; Streptophyta; Magnoliopsida; Myrtales; Myrtaceae. The record is from RNAcentral.
CCGACUCAAUAGUCAGUGGUCUUCUAGCAUUGCCGGGCGUCGUCUCGCACCAUCGAGCACGACAACGUCUACAUCUAGACGGCAUUUCUGAAGGAGCAUUGGCCCAACCUUUACAGCGACCACCAUCGGUUGACAUGGGGCAUGCCUAAAGGAGUAUUGUCUGGCAUAAAAGCUCGUGAUGGGUUCCAAUAACGAUUCCAUACAUAUCCAAUCCUGGCCAAGGAUAUCAUGCUUUACACUCAAAUGCAUCAAUUUAAAUAAUAUGCUUGGGCCUAUUUUUUCACAUUAAAAACAUCCCGGUAAAAUAGUGUGUGUGGAUACACGGUUAAAUUGGACCAUAAAGCGUGAUAUCCUUUCGUUUUAAAAUCUCACAAUUUUAUAUAGUACUAAAAACAUUUUCGGCAUCAAAAACUGACACCUAGUAUUUUUUUCUAAUUAAAUACCAAAAUUUCACAUUUUUGAAAUAAUAAUUCAAGAAUCAACACCCAGCAUCAAAUUGCACAAAUUAACAAUCAUUUACACAAACUAAUACAACCAAGACGAUCAUCACGAAAUUCUGACAACCGGCUAUCUUGGUAUAAUUUUCGGAAAAUAUUAAAUAAUUAAAUAAAUUACAAUUAAAUAAAUAAAUUGCGUUUAAUUAAACCAAACUACCUAAUUAACCUGACCAUGCAGGCACAUCAUCGAUCAAGUCAAGUUUUACCUUCCAUUAUAUAGCCAAAACACCAAAAUCCCCUUUAAAAGUAAACUUAGUAACUCCUUUUUUUUUUUUUGUUCAAACCUUCCAAAAUAAAUUCGUACGGGGUCCCGUAUUUGAAAUUAACCCGCCAAACUUUGCAUGAAUUUAGUAUAAAACCUCCUCGUUUUAUUAAGCACAUAAAACUUGGUGUCCAAACCUAACAGCAUAUUUCUUUUAUAAUUUCUUUUCCCAACCCCCUCUUUUGAAAACAACCUUUAGUAACCCCUCUUUUUUUUUUUUUGUUCAAACGUUUAGAAAUAAAUUUGUAGGUGCUCACGUACUCAAAAUUAAACCGUCAAAUUUUGCACGUACCAAGUUUAAAACCUUAUUGUUUUAUUGGGCAAAUAAGUUUUGUGUCUAGACCUAAUACCUCAUUUAUUUUCUAUUUAAUAGUCCAAGAGGUCACAUUUUAUAACAAUGCUAAAUAACCAACAUAGAGCGAUCCAUCUCAUCACCUCACACCUAAGUUCUCAACAUACCACAAGUCCACCACAUCACUAAAUACACCUUAUUUAGCAAGCAAAACAUCAAGAACAACCACAAAAUCACUACCGCUCAUAAUCGGCAGAAACUGGGCCACUCGCAUGUCUCCAAGUUUAAUUCUAGAAUUCUACCCAAACGAGCUUAGAAAAUUCUCAAAUUUGAAUAUGUUGUGGAGGAAACCUAAAAGAAAUUUUUUUAUGAGACACCUUAACCCAUAUCUUUCUAUAUUAAGCCUAAUAAAUUGCUCAAUCUAGUACAAAAAACUCUGUCCGUUUCUAAAAAGUAUGUUUUCCAAAAUCAGUUUGGUUCAAGACCUAAAACCUGCCUGUUUGAUUUGAAAUUUGAGUAUGUUAAAACAAAAGAUGUUGCAAACAACUUCUGUGAUGAAACUAUUUUGAAAUUCAAAUCGUAAGAGUUGAUUAAAAUCCCUAGAAUCUCAAAAGGUCACGAAUUCAAGCACAGUCCGAGAAUUUGUUUGCAAAUGACGGAGCUGAAAUCUCAUACUUUUAAAUAUCUAAAAAUGUUGAAUAAAAUAUAUGUCAUAUUUGAAUAUGUCUAAAACAUUUCUCAAGAAGGAAUCCACCUCAAAUUCACAACCCAUUUCGAUCUACAAAAAUGGCAAAUGGCGAGGAUCUAGUAAACUGAUCCGAAUUUAAGCUAAUAUAACUUAAUUAAUAUUAAUCCUUCUUAGCACUAAUAUAACCAUGAUAAUUAACACUAAUCUAACUCCCAAAGUGUAAUUAACAACCUAAUCAAUGAUUAGGAAGUUAACUCACCGGAUUAGCGAGAAAAUGGGAUCACGGCGACGGCGGCGUGACGGCGGUGAAGACCCGUAACUACCGAGUCUCCAACGGAGGCUCAACGGCAAAGGACAAAGCCUUACAAGCUCAUGGCUGAGGGGCUCGAUUCUGGUUCUGUUCUACUGGGUCGAUCUGGGCUUGGUGGUUCUGCUUGGCAGAGCUUGCUGGCCGUUGGCAGGUUGGUGGUGGACGUGUGAAGGGGCUGCGGUGGUCGGUUCGCUGGCUGCUCGGUGAAGCGUUGCUGGGCUUCGGUGGCUGUGGUGGAAUGAAGAAAUCGCUGGCGUGAGGUGCAAAGUUGGUGAGGUGCGGCUGACGUGAGGGGGAAGGAUC